UACAGAGGGUGCAAGCGUUAAUCGGAAUUACUGGGCGUAAAGCGUGCGUAGACGGUUAUUUAAGUCAGGUGUGAAAGCCCUGGGCUUAACCUAGGAAUUGCGCUUGAGACUGGAUAGCUUGGAGUGCGGCAGAGGGAGGUGGAAUUCCACGUGUAGCAGUGAAAUGCGUAGAGAUGUGGAGGAACACCGAUGGCGAAGGCAGCCUCCUGGGCCAGCACUGACGCUCAUGCACGAAAGCGUGGGGAGCAAACAGG
RNAcentral lists this ribosomal RNA (254 nucleotides) under uncultured bacterium. RNAcentral's name for it is "partial 16S ribosomal RNA". It matches the Rfam family "Bacterial small subunit ribosomal RNA", at positions 524 to 776 of the family's 1533-position model. The record is from RNAcentral.